This 495-nucleotide ribosomal RNA is filed under the name uncultured bacterium. Its description in RNAcentral is "partial 16S ribosomal RNA". It matches the Rfam family "Bacterial small subunit ribosomal RNA", at positions 28 to 507 of the family's 1533-position model. The record is from RNAcentral.
GACGAACGCUGGCGGCGUGCCUAAUACAUGCAAGUAGAACGCUGAAGGAGGAGCUUGCUUCUCUGGAUGAGUUGCGAACGGGUGAGUAACGCGUAGGUAACCUGCCUGGUAGCGGGGGAGAACUCUUGGAAACGAUAGCUAAUACCGCAUAAGAGUAGAUGUCGCAUGACAUUUGCUUAAAAGGUGCAAUUGCAUCACUACCAGAUGGACCUGCGUUGUAUUAGCUAGUUGGUGAGGUAACGGCUCACCAAGGCAACGAUACAUAGCCGACCUGAGAGGGGGAUCGGCCACACUGGGACUGAGACACGGCCCAGACUCCUACGGGGGGGAGCAGUAGGGGAUCUUCGGCAAUGGACGGAAGUCUGACCGGGCAACGCCGCGUGAGUGAAGAAGGUUUUCGGAUCGUAAAGCUCUGUUGUAAGGGAAGAACGAGUGUGGGAGUGGAAAGUUCACACUGUGACGGUAUCUUACCAGAAAGGGACGGCUAACUACGUG